Molecule: ribosomal RNA, 540 nt
Filed under: Physalospora vaccinii
Lineage: Eukaryota; Fungi; Ascomycota; Sordariomycetes; Amphisphaeriales; Hyponectriaceae
Description: eukaryotic LSU rRNA
Rfam family: 5.8S ribosomal RNA (bases 176-329)
Source: RNAcentral
UUCCGUAGGUGAACCUGCGGCAGGAUCAUUAAAAAACGAGCCUAAACGCUCAAAAACACCGCGAACACACCUCUGUUGCCUCGGUGGUGACGGUCCGGGGAAGUCCCGGACUUCAGCCGCCGGCGGCCCGAAAACUACUAUUUGAUGGCACUCUGAGGCACUCUAAACGAGUAAAAACUUUCAGCAACGGAUCUCUUGGUUCUGGCAUCGAUGAAGAACGCAGCGAAAUGCGAUAAGUAAUGUGAAUUGCAGAAUUCAGUGAAUCAUCGAAUCUUUGAACGCACAUUGCGCCCGCCGGCAUUCCGGCGGGCAUGCCUGUUCGAGCGUCAUUUCAACCCUCAGGCUCCGCCUGGUGUUGGGGCCUUUUCGCAUGAAAGCCCCGAAAAGCAGUGGCGGGCUCGCAGCGGACCCGGGCGUAGUAGCACACCUCGCUCAGGGCCCCGCCGCGGGCGCCGGCCGUGAAACCUCUUUUUACCCAAGGUUGACCUCGGAUCAGGUAGGAAUACCCCGCUGAACUUAAGCAUAUCAAUAAGCGGAGGA